AUGCAGUCGAACGCUUCUUUUCCCACCGGAGCUUGCUCCACCGGGAAAAGAGGAGUGGCGAACGGGUGAGUAACACGUGGGUAACCUGCCCAUCAGAAGGGGAUAACACUUGGAAACAGGUGCUAAUACCGUAUAACAAUCGAAACCGCAUGGUUUCGUUUUGAAAGGCGCUUUACGGUGCCGCUGAUGGAUGGACCCGCGGUGCAUUAGCUAGUUGGUGAGGUAACGGCUCACCAAGGCCACGAUGCAUAGCCGACCUGAGAGGGUGAUCGGCCACAUUGGGACUGAGACACGGCCCAAACUCCUACGGGAGGCAGCAGUAGGGAAUCUUCGGCAAU
This 338-nucleotide ribosomal RNA is filed under the name Enterococcus mundtii. RNAcentral's name for it is "bacterial SSU rRNA". It matches the Rfam family "Bacterial small subunit ribosomal RNA", at positions 55 to 372 of the family's 1533-position model. Lineage: Bacteria; Bacillati; Bacillota; Bacilli; Lactobacillales; Enterococcaceae. The record is from RNAcentral.